RNAcentral lists this non-coding RNA (637 nucleotides) under Drosophila persimilis. RNAcentral's name for it is "Eukaryotic large subunit ribosomal RNA". It matches the Rfam family "Eukaryotic large subunit ribosomal RNA", at positions 774 to 1399 of the family's 3401-position model. The record is from Rfam by way of RNAcentral. Lineage: Eukaryota; Metazoa; Arthropoda; Insecta; Diptera; Drosophilidae.
AUAGUAUUUAUGCCUCUAACUGGAACGUACCUUGAGCCUAUAUGCUGUGACCCGAAAGAUGGUGAACUAUACUUGUUCAGGUUGAAGUCAGGGGAAACCCUGAUGGCAGACCUGAUGGGGCGAAAGACCAAUCGAACCAUCUAGUAGCUGGUUCCUUUCGAAGUUUCCCUCAGGAUAGCUGGUGCAUUUUAAUGUUAUAUAAAAUAAUCUUAAUUGGUAAAGCGAAUGAUUAGAGGCCUUAGGGUCGAAACGAUCUUAACCUAUUCUCAAACUUUAAAUGGGUAAGAACCUUAACUUUCUCGAUAUGAAGUUUAAGGUUAUGAUAUAAUGUGCCCAGUGGGCCACUUUUGGUAAGCAGAACUGGCGCUGUGGGAUGAAUCAAACGUAAUGUUACGGUGGCCAAAUUAACAACUCAUGCAAAAACCAUGAAAGGCGUUGGUUGCUUAAAACAGCAGGAUGGUGAUCAUGGAAGUCGAAAUCCGCUAAGGAGUGUGUAACAACUCACCUGCCGAAGCAACUAGCCCUUAAAAUGGAUGGCGCUUAAAUUGUAUACCUAUACAUUACCGCUAAAGUAGAUGAUUUAUAUUACUCGUGAUAUAAAUUUUGAAACUUUAGUGAGUAGGAAGGUACAAUGGUA